CUCCUCGGGAGGCUGCAGUGGGGAAUUUUGGACAAUGGGCGCAAGCCUGAUCCAGCCAUGCCGCGUGCAGGAUGAAGGCCUUCGGGUUGUAAACUGCUUUUGUACGGAACGAAAAGGUUCUUUUUAAUAAAGAGAGCUCAUGACGGUACCGUAAGAAUAAGCACCGGCUAACUACGUGCCAGCAGCCGCGGUAAUACGUAGGGUGCAAGCGUUAAUCGGAAUUACUGGGCGUAAAGCGUGCGCAGGCGGUGAUGUAAGACAGUUGUGAAAUCCCCGGGCUCAACCUGGGAACUGCAAUUGUGACUGCAUCGCUGGAGUGCGGCAGAGGGGGAUGGAAUUCCGCGUGUAGCAGUGAAAUGCGUAGAUAUGCGGAGGAACACCGAUGGCGAAGGCAAUCCCCUGGGCCUGCACUGACGCUCAUGCACGAAAGCGUGGGGAGCAAACAGGAUUAGAUACCCUGGUAGUCCACGCCCUAAACGAUGUCAACUGGUUGUUGGGAAUUCACUUUCUCAGUAACGAAGCUAACGCGUGAAGUGACCGCC
This 542-nucleotide ribosomal RNA is filed under the name uncultured bacterium. RNAcentral describes it as "bacterial SSU rRNA". It matches the Rfam family "Bacterial small subunit ribosomal RNA", at positions 335 to 873 of the family's 1533-position model. The record is from RNAcentral.